RNAcentral lists this ribosomal RNA (345 nucleotides) under uncultured eukaryote. RNAcentral describes it as "bacterial SSU rRNA". It matches the Rfam family "Eukaryotic small subunit ribosomal RNA", at positions 596 to 945 of the family's 1831-position model. The record is from RNAcentral.
AGUGUAUAUCUAUUUUGCUGAGUUUAAAAAGCUCGUAGUUGGAUCUGCGUGUUCAGCAUCUGGUGCGGUCUUUGGCCGCCACUGGAAUGCGACACAUCGAAUGCCGGUUCGCCGUUGAUGCUCUUCAUCGGGUGUCAGCGGUGGCUGGUGAGUUUACUUUGAACAAAUUAGAGUGCUCAACGCAGGCGUUUCGCUUGUAUAUUUCUGCAUGGAAUAAUGGAAUAGGACCUCGGUUCUAUUUUGUUGGUUUUCGGAAGUGAGGUAAUGAUUAAGAGGGACUGACGGGGGCAUUCGUACUGCGACGUGAGAGGUGAAAUUCUUGGAUCGUCGCAAGACGCACUACUG